This 422-nucleotide ribosomal RNA is filed under the name Laparocerus subnebulosus. RNAcentral describes it as "partial 16S ribosomal RNA". Lineage: Eukaryota; Metazoa; Arthropoda; Insecta; Coleoptera; Curculionidae. The record is from RNAcentral.
GGUAUUUUGACCGUGCAAAGGUAGCAUAAUCAUUAGUUUUUUAAUUGAAAGCUGGAAUGAAAGGUUGGAUGAGAAAUAAGCUGUCUCUAUUUAAUUUUAUUAGAAUUUUAUUUUUAAGUUAAAAAGCUUAAAUUUUAAUAGAAGACGAGAAGACCCUAUAGAGUUUUAUUUAUUUUUUAAAUAAGAUUAAUAGUAUUAAUUAUUUUUAUUUAAUAAAUAAAUUUAGUUGGGGUGAUUGAAAAAUUUAAUAAACUUUUUUUGUAUUUAUACAUUAAUAUAUGAUUAAUUGAUCCUUAAUUUAAGAUUAAAAGAUAAAAUUACCUUAGGGAUAACAGCGUAAUUUUUUUUGAGAGUUCUAAUCGAAAGAAAAGAUUGCGACCUCGAUGUUGGAUUAAAAUAAAAUUUUGGUGUAGAAGCUAAAG